This 402-nucleotide ribosomal RNA is filed under the name Bacteroidota bacterium. RNAcentral's name for it is "Bacteroidetes bacterium partial 16S ribosomal RNA". It matches the Rfam family "Bacterial small subunit ribosomal RNA", at positions 355 to 776 of the family's 1533-position model. Lineage: Bacteria; Pseudomonadati; Bacteroidota. The record is from RNAcentral.
UGGGGAAUUUUGCACAAUGGGGGAAACCCUGAUGCAGCGACGCCGCGUGAUUUAGAAGGCCUUCGGGUUGUAAAAAUCUUUUGUAUAGGAAGAAAAUGACAGUACUAUACGAAUAAGGACCGGCGAAUUACGUGCCAGCAGCCGCGGUAAUACGUAAGGUCCGAGCGUUGUCCGGAAUCAUUGGGCGUAAAGGGUACGUAGGCGGGUAAGCAAGUUAGAAGUGAAAUCCUAUAGCUCAACUAUAGUAAGCUUUUAAAACUGCUCAUCUUGAGGUAUGGAAGGGAAAGUGGAAUUCCUAGUGUAACGGUGAAAUGCGCAGAUAUUAGGAGGAAUACCGGUGGCGAAGGCGACUUUCUGGCCAUAACCUGACGCUGAGGUACGAAAGCGUGGGUAGCAAACAGG